Molecule: ribosomal RNA, 735 nt
Filed under: Aerococcus christensenii
Lineage: Bacteria; Bacillati; Bacillota; Bacilli; Lactobacillales; Aerococcaceae
Description: bacterial SSU rRNA
Rfam family: Bacterial small subunit ribosomal RNA
Source: RNAcentral
GCGAACAGAGAAAGUGCUUGCACUUUCAAAGUUAGCGGCGGACGGGUGAGUAACACGUAAGGAACCUACCGAUAAGCGGGGGACAACAUCCGGAAACGGGUGCUAAUACCGCAUAGGAAGUUUGUUCGCAUGAACAAACUUAGAAAGAUGGCUCUGCUAUCACUUAUCGAUGGCCUUGCGGUGCAUUAACUAGUUGGCGAGGUAACGGCUCACCAAGGUGAUGAUGCAUAGCCGACCUGAGAGGGUAAUCGGCCACAUUGGGACUGAGACACGGCCCAAACUCCUACGGGAGGCAGCAGUAGGGAAUCUUCCGCAAUGGACGCAAGUCUGACGGAGCAACGCCGCGUGAGUGAAGAAGGUUUUCGGAUCGUAAAACUCUGUUGUAAGAGAAGAACAAAUUGUAGAGUAACUGCUACAGUCUUGACGGUAUCUUACCAGAAAGCCACGGCUAACUACGUGCCAGCAGCCGCGGUAAUACGUAGGUGGCAAGCGUUGUCCGGAUUUAUUGGGCGUAAAGGGGGCGCAGGCUGCUUCUUAAGUCUGAUGUGAAAGCCCACGGCUUAACCGUGGAAGUGCAUUGGAAACUGGGAAGCUUGAGUACAGAAGAGGAAAGUGGAACUCCAUGUGUAGCGGUGGAAUGCGUAGAUAUAUGGAAGAACACCAGUGGCGAAAGCGACUUUCUGGUCUGUCACUGACGCUGAGGCCCGAAAGCGUGGGUAGCAAACAGGAUUAGAA